This is a long non-coding RNA of Cyprinus carpio carpio, 1007 nucleotides long. The record is from Ensembl. NCBI's taxonomy places the organism in Eukaryota, Metazoa, Chordata, Actinopteri, Cypriniformes, Cyprinidae.
CAGACAGGCGCCGCUCCAGUGACAGCACUGAGGGGCCAUGUUGAGAGAUGAAUGUGGACAAAAGAGCCUUGAAAUGCAGGGAGUUCAACGCGGGAUUCACAAAGCGAUUUCUGUUGAAAGAUGGAUCAGUAUCCUGUUUAUUUGGACCAGCUGCUCCACUGAAUCACAACCCUUCUCCUCUUAUCUUCUUCCCUCAUCCUUUGCCCAUGUGACCACGCCUGCUCUGAGAGCGACUGCAGCCUCACUGCCAGAGGAUUCCACCAGAAUAUGAAUGAGAAACCAGAGAGAACCAGGGCAGCAGAAUAGGAGGACAGUGCAGAAACAAACACACUUACAGAUAUUGAUGUGUCACAUUGAUUCCAUGUUUCCAUGACAAAUACUGGGGUUGAAAUCAGGAAUAAUCCUUAUUUUAAACAGAGAUGCUUCAACAGCCUAAUAGCCUGUGUAUUUGAUGGUGUUGUGCAUUCUAUUUCCACGAUAGUUUAAUAUUGACCAUCUGAUCAAUAAUAAAGAUUGCAUUAAUAUGGCGAGUCCUAUCUGAAAUUGAUAUAUGCACAGAAAGUGACCUCAGAUAUCUAUUAAAAAUAUUCAAAGCCCAAAAAUGACAUGAUGAACAAGAAGUAUAUUGAUUUCUGAAGAGAGAAAUAAACCAUGUUUGUGCCUUAGAAGGGCCACAGUAUCCUCAAUUGAGCCACAUAGAGUUGAAAUACCACUGACAUAGUACAGCAGCCACAUAGGAGGUCGCAUCCGGUUUCUGGUUGCUCUAGGUUUGGCGUAUCACUCGCCUUUAGUGUAAACGGUAGUAAACCGUGUAUUAAAACAGUAAUUAACUUUAUACUAUAGUCACGAAGCGAUACUUUAUCUCAGCUCAGGUACACUCACAUGCGCAUGCACGCGUUAAACACACCCUUUAUUGCUGUCAUGGACUUUACGGUGACUUCAGUCACUUUUAUAAUGAGGUAAAUACAAUGUGACAAACUUUAAAACUAAUCCUCACAUAAAGUUUU